This 233-nucleotide ribosomal RNA is filed under the name Favella ehrenbergii. RNAcentral's name for it is "partial Eukaryotic large subunit ribosomal RNA". It matches the Rfam family "Eukaryotic large subunit ribosomal RNA", at positions 937 to 1172 of the family's 3401-position model. The record is from RNAcentral. Lineage: Eukaryota; Ciliophora; Spirotrichea; Tintinnida; Xystonellidae.
GAACCAUCUAGUAGCUGGUUCCCCCCGAAGUUUCCCUCAGGAUAGCUUGAACGCAACGGUUUUGUCAGGUAAAGCGAAUGAUUAGAGGCCUUGGGGCUGAAACAGCCUUAACCUAUUCUCAAACUUUAAAUGGGCAAGAGGUCCGGGAUGCUUGAGUGAUCCCGGGCGGCGAACGGCGCGUUCAAAGUGGGCCAUUUUUGGUAAGCAGAUCUGGCGAUGAGGGAUGCUCCUAA